UACGAAGGGGGCUAGCGUUGCUCGGAAUUACUGGGCGUAAAGGGCGCGUAGGCGGCACUGUUAGUCAGGCGUGAAAGUCCUGGGCUCAACCUGGGAACUGCGCUUGAUACGGCAGAGCUAGAGGAUGGAAGAGGGUCGCGGAAUUCCCAGUGUAGAGGUGAAAUUCGUAGAUAUUGGGAAAAACACCGGUGGCGAAGGCGGCGACCUGGUCCAUUACUGACGCUGAGGCGCGACAGCGUGGGGAGCAAACAGG
This 253-nucleotide ribosomal RNA is filed under the name uncultured bacterium. RNAcentral describes it as "partial 16S ribosomal RNA". It matches the Rfam family "Bacterial small subunit ribosomal RNA", at positions 524 to 776 of the family's 1533-position model. The record is from RNAcentral.